UCAUGGCGUCAGGAUGAACGCUAGCUACAGGCUUAACACAUGCAAGUCAGGGGCAGCAUGUGGUUGCUUGCAACCAAUGAUGGCGACCGGCGCACGGGUGAGUAACGCGUAUCCAACCUUCCCCUUAGUAGAGGAUAGCCCGGCGAAAGUCGGAUUAAUACUCUAUGUUCUUCAAUGCGGACACCUAAGUUGAAGCAAAGAUUUAUCGCUAAGGGAUGGGGAUGCGUCUGAUUAGGUUGCAGGCGGGGUAACGGCCCACCUGGCCUACGAUCAGUAGGGGUUCUGAGAGGAAGGUCCCCCACACUGGUACUGAGACACGGACCAGACUCCUACGGGAGGCAGCAGUGAGGAAUAUUGGUCAAUGGGCGCGAGCCUGAACCAGCCAAGUAGCGUGCAAGGACGACUGCCCUAUGGGUUGUAAACUGCUUUUAUCAGGGAAUAAAGUGAGGCACGCGUGCCUUUUUGUAUGUACCUGAUGAAUAAGGACCGGCUAAUUCCGUGCCAGCAGCCGC
Molecule: ribosomal RNA, 512 nt
Filed under: uncultured bacterium
Lineage: Bacteria
Description: bacterial SSU rRNA
Rfam family: Bacterial small subunit ribosomal RNA
Source: RNAcentral